GUUCUUUUUUGGACUCAUGCCUUGUUAUCUAAGUCAAAAAGCUCAGGUGGUUACUCUGUCUUGUGAGCCGAUGUUUACUUUGCUCAAAUUCUCAGCGUGAUUGGCCUACAAUAUAGGCAAAUAAUACAUCACCGUACUAUACUGUGUUUUUAAUAAUAUAGGCUUGUAUACAAUUUCCUUCCCACCACACACUGAAGGCUUUAAAACUCAUGACUGAAGGAACAUUUUGAGAGCAGUACGGUUCUAUAGUUGUGCUCUGUGUUGAACAUCAAAAUGACCACUUCUUAACUUCAAAAUUCAGUUACGGAGAUAUUGUUUUCUACUAUAUUUGUGACAGUUUGUGUUAUAGUGAUUUUUCUUAGUUGGUGUGGGCAAAUGUAACAAACUGAGGGUGAGGUUGAAGUGCAUAUUAAGGGCAUGUUGACCCAGUUAGGUCAACUUGAACCAAUUUAGCAUUUAGUAAAUGAAAGACACGCCACUUAACUUGCCAUAAGCAACAUCUUAGUCAUGGUGUCACUACCUUGUAAAACCAUAUAAUGCAGUAAGUUUGGGAUGUCUUUAAUUUUUACAUAUUUAAGUGAGCGGAC
Molecule: non-coding RNA, 587 nt
Organism: Pelobates cultripes (western spadefoot toad)
Lineage: Eukaryota; Metazoa; Chordata; Amphibia; Anura; Pelobatidae
Source: the annotation of a GenBank genome assembly